AGGACGAACGCUGGCGGCGUGCCUAACACAUGCAAGUCGAACGAGGUCCAUCCGGUAGCAAUACUGGUGAAGAUCAAGUGGCGAACGGGUGAGUAGCACGUGAGCAACCUGCCCCGAAGACCGGGACAACACCGGGAAACCGGUGCUAAUACCGGAUAUCCCCACCGAGUCGCAUGGCUUGGUGAGGAAAUGGAUUCCGCUUCGGGAGGGGCUCGCGGCCUAUCAGCUUGUUGGUGAGGUAAUGGCUCACCAAGGCUUCGACGGGUAGCUGGUCUGAGAGGACGAUCAGCCACACUGGGACUGAGACACGGCCCAGACUCCUACGGGAGGCAGCAGUGGGGAAUCUUGCACAAUGGGCGAAAGCCUGAUGCAGCAACGCCGCGUGAGGGACGAAGGCUUUCUGAGUUGUAAACCUCUUUCAGCAGGGACGAUUGUGACGGUACCUGCAGAAGAAGCCCGGCAACUACGCGCCAGCAGCCGCGGUAAU
RNAcentral lists this ribosomal RNA (487 nucleotides) under uncultured bacterium. Its description in RNAcentral is "SSU rRNA". It matches the Rfam family "Bacterial small subunit ribosomal RNA", at positions 26 to 524 of the family's 1533-position model. The record is from RNAcentral.